RNAcentral lists this transfer RNA (71 nucleotides) under Endocarpon pusillum Z07020. Its description in RNAcentral is "tRNA-Sup (TCA) (tRNA-Sup-TCA-1-1)". It matches the Rfam family "tRNA". Rfam says of the family: Transfer RNA (tRNA) molecules are approximately 80 nucleotides in length. Lineage: Eukaryota; Fungi; Ascomycota; Eurotiomycetes; Verrucariales; Verrucariaceae. The record is from RNAcentral.
GGUCCCGUGGUCCAGUGGCAGGACAUUCGCCGUCAAAUCGAAUGACCCGGGUUCGAUCCCCGGCGGGAUCA